UCGGUUACAACUCCGACUUGGUGCACCUUCGAAAGCAGCGAUUUGAUCUGUUCAAUUGGCUCAUACGAAUGUUACGGAAGCAAUGCGCAACUUGUUUCACAAGAAGCCGAUGAUGUCUCGUCCGGGACGCUGUGCUAACCUUAUCUGCAGCAGGAGCUUGCAGGGGCAGGACUAUGCAGCAGAUAAAGGCAUUCUGGCACCACUGAAGAGCUUGCACUCCACGUCUCAACUAUCACCGUCGGGGUUUCAAGCUGAAGGCUCUCACCAGUGCCAACCAGACACCCCUUCAAAGUUCAUCUGUUUUUGUUGACGGAACAGUGACGCCUGGUAAACCUGUCACGCAGAUGCCCUACCCCUCGGUAUGCAUAGUUCAAGAUUGUACCGAAACAGUCCACCUGGAGCCUUAUUUUUUAAUUGGCAGUGUCAUUACUAUCACAACACACCACACACUGCAUGUCUGUGCGUGUACAAUGCAUCAAACCUAUUCUCAGGUACAGGCGAGCUGGUACACAAUUACAACAUGAAACAACUGACACAGAGAUUGUAAAGUCAUGUCUUUUCUUCCGCGCCUCGGGUUUCAUGUUGUUAUCCUCACAUGCAGCUCAUUUCGCCUGCGCUGUGCAGCAUGAGCAAAAGUACAUGUUGUUUUUGGUCACAUGACACGGGACAUAAAUACAGUGAAACCUGCCUAUGUUGGACACCCGCGGUGCAGCCGAAGCGUGUCCUACUUAUAGAGGUGUCCGAGAUACAGAAUAUAGCGGAAGCAAAAAAAAAAAAAGGAAAACAUCACAGGUGUGUUGCCAGAAAUGUCCCCCUUCUUCAAUUUAUGGUCCUUACUGGUACCUGGUGGUGGUGCCUGGUAGUGGCACCUCU
This is a long non-coding RNA of Ornithodoros turicata, 873 nucleotides long. RefSeq lists it as uncharacterized. Lineage: Eukaryota; Metazoa; Arthropoda; Arachnida; Ixodida; Argasidae. The transcript has 3 exons. The record is from RefSeq and is a predicted model, not a curated record.